UAGAGUUUGAUCCUGGCUCAGAGCGAACGCUGGCGGCAGGCCUAACACAUGCAAGUCGAGCGCCCGUAGCAAUACGGGAGCGGCAGACGGGUGAGUAACGCGUGGGAACGUGCCCUUUAGUUCGGAAUAACUCAGGGAAACUUGAGCUAAUACCGAAUACGCCCUUCGGGGGAAAGAUUUAUCGCCAUUGGAGCGGCCCGCGUUGGAUUAGGUAGUUGGUGAGGUAAAGGCUCACCAAGCCUACGAUCCAUAGCUGGUCUGAGAGGAUGAUCAGCCACACUGGGACUGAGACACGGCCCAGACUCCUACGGGAGGCAGCAGUAGGGAAUCUUGCGCAAUGGGCGAAAGCCUGACGCAGCCAUGCCGCGUGAAUGAUGAAGGUCUUAGGAUUGUAAAAUUCUUUCACCGGGGAAGAUAAUGACGGUACCCGGAGAAGAAGCCCCGGCUAACUUCGUGCCAGCAGCCGCGGUAA
RNAcentral lists this ribosomal RNA (472 nucleotides) under uncultured bacterium. Its description in RNAcentral is "bacterial SSU rRNA". It matches the Rfam family "Bacterial small subunit ribosomal RNA", at positions 1 to 523 of the family's 1533-position model. The record is from RNAcentral.